GCUUGUUUUACGGUACCUUUUACCACUACUAAAAAAAGGAGAGGUAUGAUUUGAGUUAACGGUUAGGAUUUAGCGAGAUAGAUUAAGCCCAGUAACCCACCAACACGUAGAUAAUGGAAAAAAAGAUAAUAGUAUUCGGCCCAGCCCAUUCGUCUGCCUAGUCGGUUGCCCAAGGAGGCGGAGUCCAGAAGCGAGCGUCGCCGCCGAGCAGGGACGCCGCCGCCUCAUCCGCUCCGCUGCCACAACUCCGCCGAGACGCGUGCGCCACAGCCUCCGCCUCCACAUCAAUCAGGGCCGCCGCCGCCUCAUCCGCUCCGUUGCCGCAACUCCGUUGAGCGGCGUGCGCCGCUGCCUCCGCCACCGCCUCGUCCGCUCCGCUGCAACAACUCCGCCGCCUCCACGUCGCAGACGACCCCUUCCCAUACGACCGGGCAUGCCCCCACCAGCUCGGCCAUGUCCUGCAUCGCCGCCGUAAUCCUCUGUUCUUGUCUUGGAUAUGGUAGCAGGUUCAGGUUCUGAUGAAUCAUGUUGGUCAGGUGAUGGUCUGUGCAAGUUGAGUCUGAUUGUGCUUCGGCGGAGUCAUCAUUCCAGAAAAAGGGCUGUCAUGUGUAUAUAUGUACCAUUCACACGGAAAUUAUCUUAUUCUGUGAUAUACUUCCUGAGUUUUGAGCAAUCAGAUGAGUUUGCGCCCUAUAUUAGAAGAAGGGUUGUGUAUGACAUAUACCGCUGUUAAUGAUUGUAACUACAUUGUUUUGCUCAUGAAUAAAGUUAUCUCUGUGAGUUGUGAGAAA
Long non-coding RNA from Lolium perenne, 791 nucleotides. RefSeq lists it as uncharacterized. The record is from RefSeq and is a predicted model, not a curated record. NCBI's taxonomy places the organism in Eukaryota, Viridiplantae, Streptophyta, Magnoliopsida, Poales, Poaceae.